GGGUUGUGAGGUUAAGCGACUAAGCGUACACGGUGGAUGCCCUGGCAGUCAGAGGCGAUGAAGGGCGUGCUAAUCUGCGAUAAGCGCCGGUAAGGUGAUAUGAACCGUUAUAACCGGCGAUACCCGAAUGGGGAAACCCAGUGUGAUUCGUCACACUAUCAUUAACUGAAUCCAUAGGUUAAUGAGGCGAACCGGGGGAACUGAAACAUCUAAGUACCCCGAGGAAAAGAAAUCAACCGAGAUUCCCCAGUAGCGGCGAGCGAACGGGGAGGAGCCCAGAGCCUGAAUCAGCAUGUGUGUUAGUGGAAGCGUCUGGAAAGGCGCGCGAUACAGGGUGACAGCCCCGUACACAAAAGCGCAUGUGCUGUGAGCUCGAUGAGUAGGGCGGGACACGUGGUAUCCUGUCUGAAUAUGGGGGGACCAUCCUCCAAGGCUAAAUACUCCUGACUGACCGAUAGUGAACCAGUACCGUGAGGGAAAGGCGAAAAGAACCCCGGCGAGGGGAGUGAAAAAGAACCUGAAACCGUGUACGUACAAGCAGUGGGAGCACCCUUCGGGGUGUGACUGCGUACCUUUUGUAUAAUGGGUCAGCGACUUAUAUUCUGUAGCAAGGUUAACCGUAUAGGGGAGCCGGAGGGAAACCGAGUCUUAACCGGGCGUUAAGUUGCAGGGUAUAGACCCGAAACCCGGUGAUCUAGCCAUGGGCAGGUUGAAGGUUGGGUAACACUAACUGGAGGACCGAACCGACUAAUGUUGAAAAAUUAGCGGAUGACCUGUGGCUGGGGGUGAAAGGCCAAUCAAACCGGGAGAUAGCUGGUUCUCCCCGAAAGCUAUUUAGGUAGCGCCUCGUGAAUUCAUCUCCGGGGGUAGAGCACUGUUUCGGCUAGGGGGCCAUCCCGGCUUACCAACCCGAUGCAAACUGCGAAUACCGGAGAAUGUUAUCACGGGAGACACACGGCGGGUGCUAACGUCCGUCGUGAAGAGGGAAACAACCCAGACCGCCAGCUAAGGUCCCAAAGUCAUGGUUAAGUGGGAAACGAUGUGGGAAGGCCCAGACAGCCAGGAUGUUGGCUUAGAAGCAGCCAUCAUUUAAAGAAAGCGUAAUAGCUCACUGGUCGAGUCGGCCUGCGCGGAAGAUGUAACGGGGCUAAACCAUGCACCGAAGCUGCGGCAGCGAACGUAUCACCCAAGACAACUUUACGGAGUUGACGAUUGACGGAGCGAAGCGACGUCAAAGCGUUCAUUAAAGUCGAGUUGGCUUAGGGAUACGUUCGUUGGGUAGGGGAGCGUUCUGUAAGCCUGUGAAGGUGUGUCGUGAGGCAUGCUGGAGGUAUCAGAAGUGCGAAUGCUGACAUAAGUAACGAUAAAGCGGGUGAAAAGCCCGCUCGCCGGAAGACCAAGGGUUCCUGUCCAACGUUAAUCGGGGCAGGGUGAGUCGACCCCUAAGGCGAGGCCGAAAGGCGUAGUCGAUGGGAAACGGGUUAAUAUUCCCGUACUUGGUGUUACUGCGAAGGGGGACGGAGAAGGCUAUGUUGGCCGGGCGACGGUUGUCCCGGUUUAAGCGUGUAGGUGUGUGUUCCAGGUAAAUCCGGUUCACUUUAACACUGAGGCGUGACGACGAGGCACUACGGUGCUGAAGCAACAAAUGCCCUGCUUCCAGGAAAAGCCUCUAAGCAUCAGGUAACAUCAAAUCGUACCCCAAACCGACACAGGUGGUCAGGUAGAGAAUACCAAGGCGCUUGAGAGAACUCGGGUGAAGGAACUAGGCAAAAUGGUGCCGUAACUUCGGGAGAAGGCACGCUGACACGUAGGUGAAGUGAUUUACUCAUGGAGCUGAAGUCAGUCGAAGAUACCAGCUGGCUGCAACUGUUUAUUAAAAACACAGCACUGUGCAAACACGAAAGUGGACGUAUACGGUGUGACGCCUGCCCGGUGCCGGAAGGUUAAUUGAUGGGGUCAGCGCAAGCGAAGCUCCUGAUCGAAGCCCCGGUAAACGGCGGCCGUAACUAUAACGGUCCUAAGGUAGCGAAAUUCCUUGUCGGGUAAGUUCCGACCUGCACGAAUGGCGUAAUGAUGGCCAGGCUGUCUCCACCCGAGACUCAGUGAAAUUGAACUCGCUGUGAAGAUGCAGUGUACCCGCGGCAAGACGGAAAGACCCCGUGAACCUUUACUAUAGCUUGACACUGAACAUUGAGCCUUGAUGUGUAGGAUAGGUGGGAGGCUUUGAAGUGUGGACGCCAGUCUGCAUGGAGCCGACCUUGAAAUACCACCCUUUAAUGUUUGAUGUUCUAACGUGGACCCGUUACCCGGGUUGCGGACAGUGUCUGGUGGGUAGUUUGACUGGGGCGGUCUCCUCCUAAAGAGUAACGGAGGAGCACGAAGGUUGGCUAAUCCUGGUCGGACAUCAGGAGGUUAGUGCAAUGGCAUAAGCCAGCUUGACUGCGAGCGUGACGGCGCGAGCAGGUGCGAAAGCAGGUCAUAGUGAUCCGGUGGUUCUGAAUGGAAGGGCCAUCGCUCAACGGAUAAAAGGUACUCCGGGGAUAACAGGCUGAUACCGCCCAAGAGUUCAUAUCGACGGCGGUGUUUGGCACCUCGAUGUCGGCUCAUCACAUCCUGGGGCUGAAGUAGGUCCCAAGGGUAUGGCUGUUCGCCAUUUAAAGUGGUACGCGAGCUGGGUUUAGAACGUCGUGAGACAGUUCGGUCCCUAUCUGCCGUGGGCGCUGGAGAACUGAGGGGGGCUGCUCCUAGUACGAGAGGACCGGAGUGGACGCAUCACUGGUGUUCGGGUUGUCAUGCCAAUGGCACUGCCCGGUAGCUAAAUGCGGAAGAGAUAAGUGCUGAAAGCAUCUAAGCACGAAACUUGCCCCGAGAUGAGUUCUCCCUGAGACUUAGAGUCUCCUGAAGGAACGUUGAAGACGACGACGUUGAUAGGCCGGGUGUGUAAGCGCAGCGAUGCGUUGAGCUAACCGGUACUAAUGAACCGUGAGGCUUAACCUUACAACGCCGAAG
RNAcentral lists this ribosomal RNA (3009 nucleotides) under Salmonella enterica subsp. enterica. RNAcentral's name for it is "bacterial LSU rRNA". It matches the Rfam family "Bacterial large subunit ribosomal RNA". The record is from RNAcentral. RNAcentral also lists the same sequence under 1 other name. Lineage: Bacteria; Pseudomonadati; Pseudomonadota; Gammaproteobacteria; Enterobacterales; Enterobacteriaceae.